GAUGAACGCUGGCGGCGUGCCUAAUACAUGCAAGUCGAGCGAACAGACGAGGAGCUUGCUCCUCUGACGUUAGCGGCGGACGGGUGAGUAACACGUGGAUAACCUACCUAUAAGACUGGGAUAACUUCGGGAAACCGGAGCUAAUACCGGAUAAUAUAUUGAACCUCAUGGUUCAAUAGUGAAAGACGGUUUUGCUGUCACUUAUAGAUGGAUCCGCGCAGCAUUAGCUAGUUGGUAAGGUAACGGCUUACCAAGGCAACGAUGCGUAGCCGACCUGAGAGGGUGAUCGGCCACACUGGAACUGAGACACGGUCCAGACUCCUACGGGAGGCAGCAGUAGGGAAUCUUCCGCAAUGGGCGAAAGCUUGACGGAGCAACGCCGCGUGAGUGAUGAAGGUCUUCGGAUCGUAAAACUCUGUUAUUAGGGAAGAACAAAUGUGUAAGUAACUAUGCACGUCUUGACGGUACCUAAUCAGAAAGCCACGGCUAACUACGUG
Molecule: ribosomal RNA, 497 nt
Filed under: uncultured bacterium
Lineage: Bacteria
Description: partial 16S ribosomal RNA
Rfam family: Bacterial small subunit ribosomal RNA
Source: RNAcentral